AGAAAGGAGGGAUUCGGGCCGCCUCGGGCAGCGCCGACCCUGCCGGGCACUGCCUCCCCCUCCUCCCCAGUUCCCCAGUCGCCCGCCAGGCAGCAUCCCCGCGGCACCCACUUGAGACUGCUCAGCGGCCGGCGCCCAGCUACUAGCCCCGCAACAUUGUCACGGCCGCCGAGCCGCCCUGCGACACGAGAGGAGGCGGCGCUGCAGCCUGAGCCGGGGCCGCGAUCGGCGCCCCGCCAGCCAGCUGAUCCCCCGUGCGCCCGGCGGAGACUGAACCCGCCGCCCCUCCCCGGCGCGCGCUCCCGCCCGGCUCCGUCCACCCAACCAGGAAGUGAACCGCCGCCGGAAGUGCCUCUUGGGGCGGUGCGGCCUGACCCCGAGACCCCCCCCCCCCCCGCUACUGCCACUCUGCAGCAACAAAUGGGAAGGAGGUGGUGGCGAGAAAAGAGUCGGGAAAGGGGGUCUGGGAGAGAAGGGUCUUCACAGAGUCUCGGAAUAGAACGUAGCUAUCCCCCGGACGCAGGGCAUCCUGGGAAAGGUAGUUUAGCGCAGCCCAGUGAAUGGACUACAACUCCCACAGUGCUCCUGGAGGAGCGGGCGCGGCGUGAGCUGUGGCCUCCGAGGCCUGGAAAGUGGUGAUGGAGCCGACGCCGCGGUUGGCUUUGAGCUAGACAAACGCCAGGAGGACAGUGUCUGGUCAGAAAAUCUGCAGGCACGAUGCAGACCGACAGACCAACUGCGGAAGGCUGUGUGCAGGGCAGACCCCCAGGGGACCAGCAGACAGUCCAUUGCCUCGACCCCAAACUUUGGGGCUUAUCACCCUACAGUGACCUUUAAUUCUUCACCUUCGCUGAGCUUGGGGUAGACCUGAGCCCCUCUACUCCCUUCCACUCGCAGCCCUAGCCAGAGUUUCUGUUCGUAUUCACUUGAAGGUUCUUCCCUUGAUGUUUAUCUUACCCUGCUAGCGUCUGAGUGUGGGGUGCGGGGGUGGACGAUGUGAUUUGCAUCUGUCAAAGGUAGAAGACUGGAACGCGGUUGGUACCCAGAGAUCUGAUAGGCGAAUGCUGAAGGUAGUGGUAAAUUCCUGCCCCCUUAUCCAUAAUUUUUCUAAUACCUGCAUCUAAGUUAUUGCUCAUGUACCCCGCCCCUUCCGCUCUCUCCUCUCGCUAAUACCGCAACAGCCCUCUUGCCUUGUAAUUCCUCCCCGAAUUUCUAAAGCAGGCAUUUGAAGCGAUUAGAAAAAGGUGCCCCAGGAAAAAUGGCUCUUGUCUUCUCUAAUCUUAAUAUUCAGCAGAGGUGGGCUGGGCUGGUGGUGGCGGUGUAGCUGCUGUUGCGGCUUCUUGUUUCAAGUAGUGCCAUUGUAAUUAAACUCCCUGUGUAGAGAUAGCAUCUUUUCUUCCGGAGCGAGUCAGUGUUGACACCUCAGUUCACAAAUUCAUGCAGCCACCUCCAGGGUGAAAUGCAGCACCUACUAAAACCUUCUUGCCUCAAAGGAAGCCCACGGAGGCAUGUUCUCUGCACCUUCCUUAAAAGGCUAAAUUUUUGUCUAAGGAAGUUUAGAAUAGCUCUUAAAAUAGAUGAAAAACUUCAUUUGGGAUUGAACUCAUUGACCCCCAUCUUUCUCAGCUCCUG
This 1632-nucleotide long non-coding RNA is filed under the name Cavia porcellus (domestic guinea pig). Its description in RNAcentral is "lncRNA (ENSCPOG00000033201.1)". Lineage: Eukaryota; Metazoa; Chordata; Mammalia; Rodentia; Caviidae. The record is from RNAcentral.